GCCCAGGUGGCGGAAUUGGUAGACGCGCACGUUUCAGGUGCGUGUGUCGCGAGGCAUGCAGGUUCGAGUCCUGUUCUGGGCACCA
RNAcentral lists this transfer RNA (85 nucleotides) under Bacteroides ovatus. RNAcentral's name for it is "tRNA-Leu". It matches the Rfam family "tRNA". Rfam says of the family: Transfer RNA (tRNA) molecules are approximately 80 nucleotides in length. Lineage: Bacteria; Pseudomonadati; Bacteroidota; Bacteroidia; Bacteroidales; Bacteroidaceae. The record is from RNAcentral. RNAcentral also lists the same sequence under 6 other names.